This 433-nucleotide ribosomal RNA is filed under the name uncultured bacterium. RNAcentral's name for it is "partial 16S ribosomal RNA". It matches the Rfam family "Bacterial small subunit ribosomal RNA", at positions 29 to 507 of the family's 1533-position model. The record is from RNAcentral.
AACGAACGCUGGCGGCAUGCCUAACACAUGCAAGUCGAACGAGACCUUCGGGUCUAGUGGCGCACGGGUGCGUAACGCGUGGGAACUUGCCCUUAGGUUCGGAAUAACUCCCCGAAAGGGGUGCUAAUACCGGAUAAUGUCUUCGGACCAAAGAUUUAUCGCCUUUGGAUGGGCCCGCGUUGGAUUAGCUAGUUGGUAGGGUAAAAGCCUACCAAGGCGACGAUCCAUAGCUGGUCUGAGAGGAUGAUCAGCCACACUGGGACUGAGACACGGCCCAGACUCCUACGGGAGGCAGCAGUGGGGAAUAUUGGACAAUGGGCGAAAGCCUGAUCCGGCAAUGCCGCGUGAGUGAUGAAGGCCUUAGGGUUGUAAAGCUCUUUUACCCGGGAUGAUAAUGACAGUACCGGGAGAAUAAGCUCCGGCUAACUCCGUG